AGAAGGAUAGUAAAGAUGGCUGACUGAACACAUCAGUGGAGAUCAACUCAAGAUAAAAACAUAAUAUUCAAUAUCAGUAAAUUAAACUAAAUAUUAGCACUUCACAAACUGAUGGGUUAAAACCAAAACAAAUCAUAAGGCUGGAGAAAUUAGCGACAAAUAUUACGAAAACAAGCUACACCCAAACACGACGGUGAGUUAAACAGGGGAACCAAUCCUGAAAAGAAAACGCGCCUCUUCGACAGACAAAGACAAUUUAAUAUUUUCAUCACCGGGAAUGUAUCCAAGGAAACGUGGGAGAUUAACCUGAGGCUGUGUUGGGGACAUGUUUGGAUGACAGCCAUUGCCCAAUCAGUGAUAAAGCAGAAACACACCCAUGUUCACCAUGUCUGUGAACUGAAAGAUGUCUGAAAGAAUAAGCAGCAAGAAGAAGAGUAAGUUCCCACGUCCAGGGGAAAUAUAUUCCGUAAGGC
Oncorhynchus tshawytscha (Chinook salmon) is the source of this 473-nucleotide long non-coding RNA. NCBI's taxonomy places the organism in Eukaryota, Metazoa, Chordata, Actinopteri, Salmoniformes, Salmonidae. The record is from Ensembl.